Long non-coding RNA from Melanotaenia boesemani (Boeseman's rainbowfish), 223 nucleotides. RefSeq lists it as uncharacterized. The transcript is spliced from 3 exons. Lineage: Eukaryota; Metazoa; Chordata; Actinopteri; Atheriniformes; Melanotaeniidae. The record is from RefSeq and is a predicted model, not a curated record.
UCAGAGUAAGACAGGUCAGACAGAGGGUUCAGAGUAAGACAGGUCAGAUAGAGGGUUGAGAGUGAGACAGGUCAGACAGGGUUCAGAGUGAGACAGGUCGCAAAGACAAUUCUGAGUGAGACAUGUCAGACAGACGGGUCAAAGCAAGACAGGUCAGUCGGGUCAGAGUAAGAUGCGUCAGCAUAGAAACAGUUAUUGUGUCUUCGAUAACAUUCUCUAUAUG